CGGAGAUUUUUAUUUUUUUAACCCAAAAGUUCAACUUUUACUCCUUCUUACUGUUUUUAGCUUUCUCUUCAGUUUGAGAAGGCUGUAGAUAAUAACUCUCUCUCCUCCAACUUUUUCAUCAGCUCUUGUGACCUUUUUCCUAGGUUCUAACUGCAGUUGUGGCCUGAUGCUAAAAAGGUUUUAUUUUAAAGGAAAUGUUGUCUUCUAAGAUAACAUUCUGUGCUCUUGGCUUUAAAUUCUUCUAUGAAACUUAAAAUGUUCACUUACGACCCAGGACAUACUCUUCCUAUGUCUAACUAAUUCAAGUAUACUUUUCAUGAGUUUUGACUUCCAGAUUAUUGAAAUGGACUCCCCAUAGGGAAUAACAAUCACAUUGAAGAUGCUUUUUGUUUUUUGCCUUUUGGUAACUGGCCUCAAACAGAUUUUUGUUUCUUCAAAAUAGUUCCUAUGACAUUGUUAUUAAGUUUUGAUUUGCUUAGGAAAACUGAAAUUAAACUUUUAAAAUGUAAGGUUAUUACACCCAUGUAACUUUCUGUAUUUCUUUUAUAGUCCUUAUGCCAUUAAGUUACAGGGCUGUGACUCUUGGGUCACCAAGACACCAAGUCCUGCUAAAUCUUAAACACUGAUGGCAGUUAAAGCUGCAUCUUAAAACUCGGGAAAAGAUGACAAUCAAAAUAAACUGUGUUCAUGAGACCCAGGGCCAGAAAUUAAAACUACUGAAACCGUCUAAGCCCAGGGAAGAGGUGGAUGCAUGAGAUUGUAAAGUUUGGGACUCACAAAGAAAUCUGUUAUGAAUAUCAGUGUAUAAGUCUUCAUGUGGACAUACUGUGUCUGGAAUUGGUUCCUUCUGGUGGGUUCUUGGUCUCGUCCACUUCAAGAAUGAAGCUGCGGACCCUCGCGUCCCCCCCAACCACCCACCUGACACGGCAAUGGGUAUGUUGAGUUGAAUCUGAAUCUGAACUCGGAUUAUUUGAUUGCAGCCAUUCAAGGUAAGAUUUAUCUUGUGUUCCUAGAAAUAACAUCUCCAGAACUUUUUGGGUUGUCUGGUCAUAAGUUUAUUGUUCUUUGACAUAAAGAUGUCCAGUCUUCUAAAACUUGCUUCUGUUAUUCUGGGUUAUUAUCCAGUAUCUUGAGUCUCAUUUUUCUAUAACAGGAAAAGUCUAUGGAGAGAGGAUGAGCAUAGGCCCAGUGAGUCUAUCCUCCAGGUGGCCCAGGGCUGAAGAGUUCCAAGGGUCUCAUUAGACUAGGGCCCUUUACAUAAGCUUUGCCUCAGAUAUCUUUUUCAAAACUCUUCAAGAAUUGUUCUGCAAUCUUGUCUUUGUAUCUCUGAAAAUGUCUUUAUUUUGUUUCAUUUCCCCAGAGGUUUCACUGGUGAUGACUUGUCUUUGGCCAGGUUUGGAAGACACAUAGUUUCAUGAGCAGCAUUC
RNAcentral lists this long non-coding RNA (1427 nucleotides) under Papio anubis (olive baboon). RNAcentral describes it as "lncRNA (ENSPANG00000041957.1)". Lineage: Eukaryota; Metazoa; Chordata; Mammalia; Primates; Cercopithecidae. The record is from RNAcentral.